RNAcentral lists this transfer RNA (70 nucleotides) under Exilisciurus exilis (least pygmy squirrel). Its description in RNAcentral is "tRNA-Ala". It matches the Rfam family "tRNA". From Rfam's summary of the family: Transfer RNA (tRNA) molecules are approximately 80 nucleotides in length. Their secondary structure includes four short double-helical elements and three loops (D, anti-codon, and T loops). The record is from RNAcentral. Lineage: Eukaryota; Metazoa; Chordata; Mammalia; Rodentia; Sciuridae.
AGGGGUUUAGCUUAAUUNAAAGUAACUGAUUUGCGUUCAGUAGAUGUAGGAUAAGGUCUUGCAGUCCCUG